GUGAGGAAUAUUGGUCAAUGGGCGAGAGCCUGAACCAGCCAAGUCGCGUGAAGGAAGACGGCCCUACGGGUUGUAAACUUCUUUUGCAAUGGAAUAAAAAGAGUUACGUGUAAUUCAUUGUAUGUACAUUGCGAAUAAGGAUCGGCUAACUCCGUGCCAGCAGCCGCGGUAAUACGGAGGAUCCGAGCGUUAUCCGGAUUUAUUGGGUUUAAAGGGUGCGUAGGCGGAUUGGAAAGUCAGCGGUGAAAGUUUGCAGCUUAACUGUAAAAUUGCCAUUGAAACUGUCAGGCUUGAGUGCAAAUGAGGUAGGCGGAAUGUGUUGUGUAGCGGUGAAAUGCAUAGAUAUAACACAGAACACCAAUUGCGAAGGCAGCUUACUGGGAUGCAACUGACGCUGAGGCACGAAAGCGUGGGGAUCAAACAGGAUUAGAAACCCGGGUAGUCC
This 445-nucleotide ribosomal RNA is filed under the name uncultured bacterium. Its description in RNAcentral is "partial 16S ribosomal RNA". It matches the Rfam family "Bacterial small subunit ribosomal RNA", at positions 354 to 796 of the family's 1533-position model. The record is from RNAcentral.